RNAcentral lists this ribosomal RNA (135 nucleotides) under Sphenodon punctatus (tuatara). RNAcentral describes it as "5.8S ribosomal RNA (ENSSPUG00000005954.1)". It matches the Rfam family "5.8S ribosomal RNA". Rfam says of the family: 5.8S ribosomal RNA (5.8S rRNA) is a component of the large subunit of the eukaryotic ribosome. It is transcribed by RNA polymerase I as part of the 45S precursor that also contains 18S and 28S rRNA. The record is from Rfam by way of RNAcentral. Lineage: Eukaryota; Metazoa; Chordata; Lepidosauria; Sphenodontia; Sphenodontidae.
GACUCUUAGCGGUGGGUCACUUGGCUUGUGUGUUGAUGAAAAACGCAUCUAGCUGCGAGAAUUUGAAUUGUAGGACACACUGAUGGUUGACAAUUCAAACACACUUGCGGUCCCUGCGUUCCUCCUUCUGGGAGG